Molecule: ribosomal RNA, 450 nt
Filed under: uncultured bacterium
Lineage: Bacteria
Description: bacterial SSU rRNA
Rfam family: Bacterial small subunit ribosomal RNA
Source: RNAcentral
UACCCAGACUCCUACGGGAGGCAGCAGUGGGGAAUAUUGGGCAAUGGAGGCAACUCUUACCCAGCAAUGCCGCGUGAAUGAAGAAGGUCUUCGGAUUGUAAAGUUCUUUAAUUGGGGACGAAAAAAAUGACGGUACCCAAGGAAUAAGCCCCGGCUAACUACGUGCCAGCAGCCGCGGUAAUACGUAGGGGGCAAGCGUUAUCCGGAUUUACUGGGUGUAAAGGGAGCGUAGACGGCGAUGCAAGUCUGAAGUGAGAGGCGGGGGCCCAACCCCCGGACUGCUUUGGAAACUGUAUGGCUGGAGUGCAGGAGAGGUAAGUGGAAUUCCUAGUGUAGCGGUGAAAUGCGUAGAUAUUAGGAGGAACACCAGUGGCGAAGGCGGCUUACUGGACUGUAACUGACGUUGAGGCUCGAAAGCGUGGGGAGCAAACAGGAUUAGAUACCCUAGUA